AGAGUUUGAUCCUGGCUCAGGAUGAACGCUGGCGGUAUGCUUAACACAUGCAAGUCGAACGGAACUCUUCGGAGUUCAGUGGCGGACGGGUGAGUAACGCGUGAGAAUCUGGCUUCAGGUUCGGGACAACCAUUGGAAGCGAUGGCUAAUACCGGAUGUGCCGCAGGGUGAAAGAUUAAUUGCCUGAAGAUGAGCUCGCGUCUGAUUAGCUAGUUGGUGGGGUAAGAGCCUACCAAGGCGACGAUCAGUAACUGGUCUGAGAGGAUGACCAGUCACACUGGGACUGAGACACGGCCCAGACUCCUACGGGAGGCAGCAGUGGGGAAUUUUCCGCAAUGGGCGAAAGCCUGACGGAGCAAUACCGCGUGAGGGAGGAAGGCUCUAGGGUUGUAAACCUCUUUUCUCAGGGAAGAAUAAAAUGACGGUACCUGAGGAAUAAGCAUCGGCUAACUCCGUGCCAGCAGCCGCGGUAAUACGGAGGAUGCAAGCGUUAUCCGGAUUUAUUGGGCGUAAAGCGUCCGCAGGUGGCAGUUCAAGUCUGCUGUCAAAGGUCGGGGCUCAACCCCGAACAGGCAGUGGAAACUGAACAGCUAGAGUACGGUAGGGGCAGAGGGAAUUCCCGGUGUAGCGGUGAAAUGCGUAGAGAUUGGGAAGAACACCGGUGGCGAAAGCGCUCUGCUAGGCCGAAACUGACACUCAUGGACGAAAGCUAGGGGAGCGAAUGGGAUUAGAUACCCCAGUAGUCCUAGCCGUAAACGAUGGAUACUAGGCGUUGUGAGUAUCGACCCUCACAGUGUCGUAGCUAACGCGUUAAGUAUCCCGCCUGGGGAGUACGCGCGCAAGCGUGAAUCUCAAAGGAUUUGACGGGGCCCGCACAAGCGGUGGAGUAUGUGGUUUAAUUCGAUGCAACGCGAGAA
Molecule: ribosomal RNA, 917 nt
Filed under: uncultured Chroococcidiopsis sp.
Lineage: Bacteria; Bacillati; Cyanobacteriota; Cyanophyceae; Chroococcidiopsidales; Chroococcidiopsidaceae
Description: bacterial SSU rRNA
Rfam family: Bacterial small subunit ribosomal RNA
Source: RNAcentral